Molecule: long non-coding RNA, 1193 nt
Organism: Haplochromis burtoni (Burton's mouthbrooder)
Lineage: Eukaryota; Metazoa; Chordata; Actinopteri; Cichliformes; Cichlidae
Exons: 4
Source: RefSeq, a predicted model, not a curated record
AAGACUUAAAGAGGAGAUAGCUUAAGUCAUUAGGUACAUAUUCCCUGACAUUCUAGAGGUCAACCUUGCACAGUGUGUGACAUUAAAGGGCAUAACUUAUAGAAAUGGAAUGGUACUGGCCCAAAGGGCAGCAGGUGGAUUGCCAGAAUACUGAAAAACCAUAUCUGCAUUGUACCACAGCAUAUUCUACAUUGUCAGAGAGCUUGGUGGCUGGUACAGAGAGCACGACAGCUUUUGAGCUCAGCCCAGUAUCCACAAGAAUAUUCACUCUCAUUUCACUCUGUGAACUCCUUGAUACUUAUCCAUUGGUUGACUAUGAGAUUGGAUCAGUCCACAUUGUGACUUUAAAAGGCAUAUAGAAAUAAAAGGUGUUCAUAUAAGUGUAAUAGGUUCAGUCGCAUGUAUUUCAUUAGAUAAAUUCUUCUUUUUUUAUGUCUGAUCUUUAUAACUUUGACUAUUGGGUAUGGAUAGCUUUAUGAAAACUAAACUGAAAGGAUUCUUUCUGAAUAUGUAAUUCUUUUUUGCCUACAGAGUCCUAUGGGGAGUCCUAUGGUCCUAAAGACUGUUUUGGCUGACGGAACCUGUCGAAGGCUCACUCUCUAAUGGAGCGCCUGAAUCAACUGAGGAUCUCAUCGUUGAAGUCAAGAGACAGUGUUGUCUUCAGGGCAGUUUCAGACUUGGACAUAAAAAAGAGUAACAGAGUUGGUGAAACUCAAGAUGGAAAAGACUUUUUCAUACAGAAGACAUGAAGGUGUUCGUGAUGCACCAAUGGUGGAGGCUUUCAUGGCAAGAUGGCCUGCUCUAAUUGAUUUCCAUGAGAUCAACGCUGAGUUUAAGAGAAUUGCCACCAUCCCCCCUCAGACAAAGUUCCUGGCUCAGCUGGUCUCCACUGGACAACCUGGUGAAGUUGGUCAACAGAAGAGGAGAGCUUGGACUAAUACUGAAAAGAAUUGUGGCAUAAAUGGAUAAUUGUGAAGAUGUUGAUGCUGAACGUGAGUGUGUCAAGGGAGUGUGUAUCUACAUGGGUGAAGACCCUGGCAUGCUUAUCCGGGAGUAUGUGGGCAUGGAAGAACGUGCCAUCAGUGAGACUGUUGAAGACACCACUGUUUGAAUUUAUCUUCUUAAAGAGCAAGCUUCAGCAGAUGAACAAGAGUUGUCCUUGCAGGCAUCAGGGUGGCGAAGACUUUGGAUAA